ACUAUGUGUUGUUGGGUAGGGGAGCGUUCUGUAAGCCUGUGAAGGUGUGUCGUGAGGCAUGCUGGAGGUAUCAGAAGUGCGAAUGCUGACAUAAGUAACGAUAAAGCGGGUGAAAAGCCCGCUCGCCGGAAGACCAAGGGUUCCUGUCCAACGUUAAUCGGGGCAGGGUGAGUCGACCCCUAAGGCGAGGCCGAAAGGCGUAGUCGAUGGGAAACGGGUUAAUAUUCCCGUACUUGGUGUUACUGCGAAGGGGGGACGGAGAAGGCUAUGUUGGCCGGGCGACGGUUGUCCCGGUUUAAGCGUGUAGGUGUGUGUUCCAGGUAAAUCCGGUU
Molecule: ribosomal RNA, 332 nt
Filed under: Salmonella enterica subsp. enterica serovar Mikawasima
Lineage: Bacteria; Pseudomonadati; Pseudomonadota; Gammaproteobacteria; Enterobacterales; Enterobacteriaceae
Description: partial 23S ribosomal RNA
Rfam family: Bacterial large subunit ribosomal RNA
Source: RNAcentral